Molecule: long non-coding RNA, 4535 nt
Filed under: Mus musculus (house mouse)
Lineage: Eukaryota; Metazoa; Chordata; Mammalia; Rodentia; Muridae
Description: long non-coding RNA chr8:62979220-62983755
Source: RNAcentral
AACAAAAUGAUUUUGUGCUUGAGGGUCACUGUAGCAUAGGAAACUGUAUUAAAGUGUGUCAGCAUUAGGAGGCUCGAGGACCACUGUCAUAUAACAAGUCCCCUAGCUGUGAGUAUCAUGAAAUAUAGAUGUUGGUUAGGAAAUUCAAAACAGAAGAGGCCUUCAACUCAAAUGGAUAGAGACUAAGCAGAGAGAGUCCAGAAAAACUCAGGAUGCCGUGUAUGAACCAGGACUUGUUGACCUUACACUCAAAUAUCCUUACACUUCUUCAUCAUACAUCAAAUAAACAGUGUGUCUUCCAUUCAGUGUGGCAGAUGCAACACGAUAUUGAUUGUCAUUUUCUAUACCUCAAUGAAUUACCCAUCUGUAAAUUAUGUUAGAAAAGCAUUAACAUAAUAAGAUGUUCAUUUUAACCUUUGCUUAUAUGCUUCAUAUUAAAUAUGCCAUAUUAUUUACUUUAAACUGGACUUUAAUGGGUUUAUAUGUGAUAAAUCAACUGUCAACAUAGUUUUAUAUCAUGCUUAAAAUUGAUUAAAAAUUUAUUUUUUUUGAAUUCUGCAUUCUUAGUGAUCUCAUCACACAUAAUAGGAGAAGAAACAUAUUAUUCUUAUUUAUUCAUUUAUUGUGUGAGAAAAUGUUUGUGUGUAUGAAUGUGCUAUAUCACAUGUAUAUAGGUCAAAAGACAUUGUGUGCAAACUGGUCAUCUCCUUUUAUCACCAGGAUUCUGGAAAUCAAACUCCAGUAAUCAAGUUUGGCAAAUUAUACUGUUACCAGCUGAGCCAUUUCACUGGCCCACAAAUAUUAUUUCAAUGUCAUUUUCUUGCACGUAUUUUACAUUUUUAUUUAUUAGCAGGAAUAUGUCCUAUUAACAUAUAUCAGUUCUAAAUGCAUGCAUUCUCAUUGCUUUGACUCUGACAGUGACUAUGUCUAUGGUCCUUAUUUCCUCCAUGAUUAGGUCUUAGUUUAAGUUGUCAAACUAGCAGUUUAUGUUAGAGGUUGUGAAAAAUGCAACAUUGCCUUUAUAAACAAUGAAUCAACAAAUAUAUCAAUAUUUGAUACCUGUUUUAAUUCAUGUUAGAGUUUUUAAAAGAACUUAAAGGAAAAAAUUCCACAGAAUAGGAACUGCCUUCCUAUAGGCAACUGACUUCUUGGUUAUUUGUUUGGAUAAUUUUCAUAGCCACAGUUUGCUCACUAGGCUAACAUUCUGACAAGAAGUCAGGCAUGAGAACAGAGCAAGAUAUGUCAUGAUUAAACAAGAAGAGCAAGUUUGCAUCUGUAAGAUGUUUCAUUCUGAUCUGAACCCUGAAUUUUAUUAUGCUCAGCUGAUAAAAUAUUCCAUUUGAAUUAGAUAUCUCAUAUUUCCUUUGCAAAAUGUAUUUUUCCUCCUCAGAGUAUAAGAGGCCAAAGCAGGUAUCUCUUUUGCAGAAAACUAUGCCAUAUUGAAUUCUUCUUGAUGAAGUUCUUAAAAAUACAACAUUUUUAUUAUUUUAUGUUAUAUUUAUAUAUUUCAUAUAGGUUUUAUUUAAUAAAAGAAGCCAUUAGCUUGUUUUCAGAUAUGCACUCUUUUAAUUAUUUAAAUUUUCAAACUGCACAUGAAAUAUAUAUAAGUACAUUUCUUUUUAAAAUGCUCAGGUGUUAGACAUUUAAUAUAAACUCACAGUGGAAUAUUUCCUCAAGUUGAAAUAUCAAAAAUAUUUUCUAUAAUAUGUAAAUUAAUUUGAGAUGAAAGUAGUAAUGCCUUUUGCUGUUUAGCAAUGAUUUCUACAUAGAUUUCAUAAUCCACUUUUAAAAAAAGACUCUUUCUAUGGCUUGAAAGAAUGAGAUGAUUUCUUCCAAGGAGCAGCUCAAAAAGAAACCAUCUAUCACAGUUCUUACAAUGUCAUAAAUGGGGGAACACGUGCUUUUUCUGGUCUUGUUCUGUGAUUCUGUGAAAAGAAUUUCCACUUCUUGGUUCAUCAUAGCUGCUGUCAGCCAGUUUGCGCAUGUACAUUCUAGCAAUAGGAAGGAGAAAGGUAUGGCCAGAGUAUAGCCUAGAGCAGCCAAGAGGAAGUUCUAUAUGAUUCUUCUCCUAUAUGGCUAGCAAUAAUGACAUGCGUUUACAGGAUUACAGAAAGGUUAGGAAUGCAUUGGCAUGAUUUAGCAUUUGGCAGAAAAGUUUCACACAAUCCAAUAAUAUAUUCAGAUGGCAAGGAAACUCAUUGAACUAAUGUAAAACUCUAAUUCAAAAUAUUCUACUGCAUGAUUUCAUAAAUAAUAUAUGCUUCCAAAGUCACAAAAUAUUGAGCUGAUCAAAGAAUCAGUAAACACUACCAUAUAAAUUAAAUAAAGUUCAUAAAAUGGAACAAAGUUGAGGCUGAGUAAUUAUAUUCCCAUGCAUUUAGGAUCACAAUAUACAGUACUAAGAAGUUGCUAUAGACUACUCAUGCAUAAAUCACAUCAUUAAUUGGUUUAUUCUGGGAACGUCUCCAGACGCAACUCUAAACCUCCUUAAGUGGGGAGCAUUAUAAGCUACCCUAAUAUGAAUCCAUCUCUUCUAAAACACAGUUAACAUGGGGUAUGGCAGACAACAACAGAGUGUAAUGUUUGCUUGUAACUACAGGGACAAGAGAAAUAGCCUAACAACAUGACUCAUUCAAGGACAAGAAGGCAAUACAAAUCCUCCAGUUACACUACAGCACGUGCACUUAUAUGCACAUAUUUGUAUAAGAACAUGUAUUUGUGUAUGUUGUAUGUAUUACUUGCAUUUUUAUAUCUAUGUCUACUAAUUAGAUAGCAUUAUGCUUAUAGAUGUGCCCAUGUUUUUCUUGUUUCCAGCAGGCAUUUAACAUUUCAAUUUAAGAAAAAUCAUGAAACACAUUAGAGAUAAUAGAAUUUUCUACAAUUGUGUCUGUGUUUUCUUUACCUUUUCUUAUAUAUUUUUAAUUGUGAUCCUAGCCUUUAAUGGGCUGAGCCAUCUCUCCAGCCCUCUUCUCAAUUAAACAUAUUUGUAUGCAUUUUGCAGGCUCAUUACUUCCAAUACAGUGAGAUUUUGUAUGACCAGAAAAUGCUCAUUACUCUCACCACUGGUAAUUUUUAGCCCACUAAGACUUUGUAACAGUGUGCAUAUUUAUUUAUUAUUGUUAUAACAGUAUUCACUAUUAUGAAAAGGUGAAGUAAUCCAACAUAGCUUUAAUUUCUAAAAUUUCCCUGUUCUUAUCUAAUUACACAAUUUUUUCUUUUCACUUUUUCUUUCUCCUUCUGUAAGACUUUCAUUUCUCUUUGUUUUCUCUCUUUAUCCUCUUUCCUUUAUUGGUGAAAAAAAUAGGCAAGAGUUAAAAUUGUUUAAUUACAGUUGGCAAGCUUAUACAUGCCAUGAUGCCUGGAUUCUGCUGUCAGGCUGUGUGCCGUGUGCUGUGUACUGUGUACUGGAUGCAAUACAAUGGACAAAGCCACGGCAACAUGGAUUUUGCUUGUGUUUGUCUUGCUUUGCUCAAUAAAUUUUCUAGGCAUUAUGAUUUUAAUAGAAAAAAAAGUCUUACAUUUGUAACAUUUAAAAUGCAACUCAAAAGAAUGGGAAACUUGUUUUAUCAACUUCCAAGGUUAGAAAUUCAGCGUUGCUGUCCUAGGAGGCUCUGCAGGAGAGGCACGAGUGGCUCCAGGGAGUCUGGUCACAUGGUUUGACCUUCUAGUGCUCUUGAGUAUCUUAGUUCACUAUCUGAUGACUUUUCUAUUCCUAGCCAUUAUCAACUGUAAUAAUAUAUCUAUAUCACAUUAUUACAGCGAAAAAAUGCUUCUGUAUGAAAUACAUGAAAAAAGAUGCUUGUUGAGAGCAAUCUGUGGUAUAUCUAGUGACAGCUAGAGCCAUUGCUUUCUCAUCAUAUGAUGACCUGUUUAACCUUGCACUCUGGAAUUUUUACCCAUGGAUAUAAUUGCUCAUAAGUCUAGUAUGACUCACUUCUUAACUAAUAUAAAGCAUACGGUUUAUAUUUGAAUUGUGCUUCUCUGUAACUGAUGGGAUUUGUUAGGAAUGUUUAUAAUUUUAGUUGAAGAGUGAAUGGCACAGUAUCCCAUAUAUAUAUUCAUGUAUAAAAAACUCUAGGGUAAUUUUUGCAGGACUUUAUCUAACAUGAUCCUGUGUCUCACUUACACUUUCAGCUUUGCAUCCGACUUUUAAGAAACACAGUGGUUGUUAGAAAAUAUCCCUUGAUGUUUCAAUUAUCCAUCAUCCACUGAACAAACCCCAUAUGUUAGUGUGUUGUUUACCUUUUAGAGAAACCCAGAAACAAAAAAUUCUAUACUUACCAUUCAUAUAUUUUAUAGCAUCAUAGAUGUCUUUUACUUUCUAAGCUGAAUAUUCACUAUUAUGCCAUAAUAUUCACAUUUAUGCCAUGCUAGAACUUCUUUCAUUUUGGACAAUUAAACAUUUUUGGAUAAUUAAAAAGUCACCAUUUUUAUACAAUUUUUGUUUUUAAUGACAAGUUAAUUUUUAAUGUAAAUGUAUGAAAUUUCUUGGGUUUUGAAUAACAACAUACAUAGUACAUAAAUGAAAGCACAUC